ACUCUAAUAGUUUAUAAAAACAUUGGUCUUGUAAGCCAAAGACUGAAGAAAUCACAUCUUCUUAGAGUU
RNAcentral lists this transfer RNA (69 nucleotides) under Heliornis fulica (sungrebe). Its description in RNAcentral is "tRNA-Thr". It matches the Rfam family "tRNA". Rfam says of the family: Transfer RNA (tRNA) molecules are approximately 80 nucleotides in length. Lineage: Eukaryota; Metazoa; Chordata; Aves; Gruiformes; Heliornithidae. The record is from RNAcentral.